RNAcentral lists this ribosomal RNA (254 nucleotides) under uncultured bacterium. Its description in RNAcentral is "partial 16S ribosomal RNA". It matches the Rfam family "Bacterial small subunit ribosomal RNA", at positions 524 to 776 of the family's 1533-position model. The record is from RNAcentral.
UACGUAGGGUGCGAGCGUUGUCCGGAAUUAUUGGGCGUAAAGGGCUCGUAGGCGGUUCAGUUAGUCGGGUGUGAAAUCUCCGGGCUCAACCCGGAGGGGCCACCCGAUACUGCUGUGACUCGAGUCCGGUAGGGGAGUGGGGAAUUCCUGGUGUAGCGGUGAAAUGCGCAGAUAUCAGGAGGAACACCGGUGGCGAAGGCGCCACUCUGGGCCGGUACUGACGCUGAGGAGCGAAAGCGUGGGUAGCAAACAGG